RNAcentral lists this unclassified non-coding RNA (250 nucleotides) under plant metagenome. RNAcentral describes it as "partial contains small subunit ribosomal RNA, internal transcribed spacer 1, and 5.8S ribosomal RNA". The record is from RNAcentral.
GUAGGUGAACCUGCGGAAGGAUCAUUAACACGUGAUACUCACGUAUUAACAACCCACCGAGAACUGUUAUUCUGUCCUAUUGUUGAUUGUAAGUAGACGAACUGAGGGAAUGCUAUGGGUCGCCUUAACUGUACACCCUAACUCACUCGUCGUUCUUAGGUCCGCCCUGGAGCUUGCACCAACAAAUAGCUGAUGAAUUACGACUGCUUAUUAAGCCUGUAGCAUAGCUUGCAGCUCGUAGUGAAAUUAU